GACGAACGCUGGCGGCGUGCUUAACACAUGCAAGUCGAACGGAAAGGCCCUGCUUUUGUGGGGUGCUCGAGUGGCGAACGGGUGAGUAACACGUGAGUAACCUGCCCUUGACUUUGGGAUAACUUCAGGAAACUGGGGCUAAUACCGGAUAGGAGCUCCUGCUGCAUGGUGGGGGUUGGAAAGUUUCGGCGGUUGGGGAUGGACUCGCGGCUUAUCAGCUUGUUGGUGGGGUAGGGGCUUACGAAGGCUUUGACGGGUAGCCGGCCUGGGAGGGUAACCGGCCACAUUGGGACUGAGAUACGGAGCAGACUCCUACGGGAGGCAGCAGUGGGGAAUAUUGCACAAUGGGCGGAAGCCUGAUGCAGCAACGCCGCGUGCGGGAUGACGGGCUUCGGGUUGUAAACCGCUUUCGCCUGUGACGAAGCGUGAGUGACGGUAAUGGGUAAAGAAGCAACGGCUAACUACGUG
Molecule: ribosomal RNA, 468 nt
Filed under: uncultured bacterium
Lineage: Bacteria
Description: partial 16S ribosomal RNA
Rfam family: Bacterial small subunit ribosomal RNA
Source: RNAcentral